AGGCCUAACACAUGCAAGUCGAACGGUAACAUGAGAGCUUGCUCUUGAUGACGAGUGGCGCACGGGUGCGUAACGCGUAUGCAAUCUACCUAUAACUGAGGAAUAGCCCAGAGAAAUUUGGAUUAAUACCUCAUAAUAAUAUUUUUUGGCAUCAUUAAAUAUUUAAAACUCCGGUGGUUAUAGAUGAGCAUGCGUUCUAUUAGCUAGUUGGUGAGGUAAAGGCUCACCAAGGCUACGAUAGAUAGGGGGCCUGAAAGGGUGAUCCCCCACACUGGUACUGAGACACGGACCAGACUCCUACGGGAGGCAGCAGUGAGGAAUAUUGCACAAUGGAGGAAACUCUGAUGCAGCCAUGCCGCGUGCAGGAUGAAUGCCCUAUGGGUUGUAAACUGCUUUUUUACAAGAAGAAACGUUGGUACGUGUACCAAUUUGACGGUAUUGUAAGAAUAAGCACCGGCUAACUCCGUGCCAGCAGCCGCGGUAAUACGGAGGGUGCAAGCGUUAUCCGGAUUUAUUAGGUUUAAAGGGUUCGCAGGCGGAAUUUUAAGUCAGUGGUGAAAGCCUAUAGCUCAACUAUAGAACUGCCACUGAUACUGAUAUUCUUGAGUGUAGAUGAAGUGGGCGGAAUAUGUCAUGUAGCGGUGAAAUGCAUAGAUAUGACAUGGAACACCAAUUGCGAAGGCAGCUCACUAAACUAUUACUGACGCUCAUGAACGAAAGCAUGGGGAGCGAACAGGAUUAGAUACCCUGGUAGUCCAUGCCGUAAACGAUGAUCACUAGAUGUUGGCGAUAUACAGUCAGUGUUUAAGAGAAAUCAUUAAGUGA
Molecule: ribosomal RNA, 825 nt
Filed under: uncultured Cryomorphaceae bacterium
Lineage: Bacteria; Pseudomonadati; Bacteroidota; Flavobacteriia; Flavobacteriales; Cryomorphaceae
Description: bacterial SSU rRNA
Rfam family: Bacterial small subunit ribosomal RNA
Source: RNAcentral